CCUACGGGUGGCAGCAGUGAGGAAUAUUGGUCAAUGGACGAGAGUCUGAACCAGCCAAGUAGCGUGAAGGAUGACUGCCCUAUUGGUUGUAAACUUCUUUUAUAUGGGAAUAAAAUGUUCCACGUGUGGGAUUUUGUAUGUACCAUAUGAAUAAGGAUCGGCUAACUCCGUGCCAGCAGCCGCGGUAAUACGGAGGAUCCGAGCGUUAUCCGGAUUUAUUGGGUUUAAAGGGAGCGUAGGUGGAUUGUUAAGUCAGUUGUGAAAGUUUGCGGCUCAAACGUAAAAUUGAAGUUGAAACUGGCAGUCUUGAGUACAGUAGAGGUGGGCGGAAUUCGUGGUGUAGCGGUGAAAUGCUUAGAUAUCACGAAGAACUCCGAUUGCGAAGGCAGUUCACUGGACUGCAACUGACACUGAGGCUCGAAAGUGUGGGUAUCAAACAGGAUUAGAUACCCGUGUAGUC
This 460-nucleotide ribosomal RNA is filed under the name uncultured bacterium. RNAcentral describes it as "partial 16S ribosomal RNA". It matches the Rfam family "Bacterial small subunit ribosomal RNA", at positions 338 to 795 of the family's 1533-position model. The record is from RNAcentral.